Molecule: long non-coding RNA, 595 nt
Filed under: Mytilus galloprovincialis (Mediterranean mussel)
Lineage: Eukaryota; Metazoa; Mollusca; Bivalvia; Mytilida; Mytilidae
Source: RNAcentral
AAUAACAUUUUGAGAAUAAGAUAAAAAAAAAUUAGAACAAUUCAUGUUCAAAUGGUAACUCGAGGUCGUUUCCAUGUAUAAAAUGUCUUAAAUUCAGGCUAAAACUUUUUAUAUUUAUAAUGUUAAAAGAUAGAGAAGUUUGAUGAUUUAGCAAAAAGCAAAUGAUUGAUUGUUGCCUGCUUCAUGUUCCGCAAGAAUUAUUUCAUGUAUAUUCCAGACAAAAACCAUAGCAGGUAUAUUAAAGGCUGUUCAAGGUAGGCCGCUGGAAUUCAAAAUAGGUUCUUUAAUCAGUCACGGCCGAUGGAGGGAAGAUGAAAUAAACGAAAGGAUUUUAAAUCGCGACAUAGCACAAUGCGGGUUUGUUGUCUCAGAAUUAUGUUAGACUAAAAUCUAACGUUGAGAGUAUGAUACCGGGUCUCUUUAGACGAGGCGUCGUCCCGAUUUCGACCGGACGUGACUGCGUAUUUAAACAUCCCGCACAAGUAUUCGGGUGCCCCAUUUCAAUGACAAAUCUUAUAAUAACUGACAGAUCGGAAUUCACGGUAGACUUGUUGGUGACCAUACAUAUAUACACCAACCAGCAACCAGAUACACC